This 240-nucleotide unclassified non-coding RNA is filed under the name plant metagenome. Its description in RNAcentral is "partial contains small subunit ribosomal RNA, internal transcribed spacer 1, and 5.8S ribosomal RNA". The record is from RNAcentral.
UUUCCGUAGGUGAACCUGCGGAAGGAUCAUUAAAGAGUAAGGGUCUUCGGGCCCGAUCUCCAACCCUUUGUUUAACUACCAUGUUGCUUUGGCGGGCCCGUCUCACGACCGCCGGAAGUUUGGCUUCGACCAAACUUCUGGCCCGUGCCCGUCAGUGGCCCCUUCAAAUUCUUGAUCAAGUAUGAUGUCUUAGUUAAAAACUUAAUAGUUAAAACUUUCAACAACGGAUCUCUUGGUUCU